Long non-coding RNA from Stylophora pistillata, 203 nucleotides. The record is from RefSeq and is a predicted model, not a curated record. Lineage: Eukaryota; Metazoa; Cnidaria; Anthozoa; Scleractinia; Pocilloporidae.
UUCUUCCCUUUUCAAGUACACACACUAUUGACGAGUCCGGGCAAGUGGUUAUCCAUCUAGGAAAAGCACAGAUAUUGAGGACACACCCAUGCUGACGAGUCCGGACAAAUGGUUAUCCAUCCAGGAAAGUCAGAGAUAUUCAGGGCUUGACACACCCUGCUGACGAGUCCGAGCUAGCCAUCGAGGAAAGCCAGGGAUAUUUA